UGCUCACUAGACAGCAAUAUACUAAAUUGGAACAAUAUAGAGAUUACAGCUCCUGCCCAAGGAUGACACCCAAAUUUUUGGAAAUUCUUAUAUUCUU
Molecule: small nuclear RNA, 97 nt
Filed under: Callithrix jacchus (white-tufted-ear marmoset)
Lineage: Eukaryota; Metazoa; Chordata; Mammalia; Primates; Cebidae
Source: RNAcentral